Long non-coding RNA from Oncorhynchus tshawytscha (Chinook salmon), 1319 nucleotides. Lineage: Eukaryota; Metazoa; Chordata; Actinopteri; Salmoniformes; Salmonidae. The record is from Ensembl.
UGUGUGUGUGUGUGUGUGUGUGUGUGUGUGUGUGUGUGUGUGUGUGUGUGUGUGUGUGUCCUUUAUGUAUAAAGACAGUGUGAAAGAGUGUAAGAGAGAGAGAGAGAACUAAAGAGAAAAAUAAAAUCUUUUUACACUGAGUAUAUGUUGUCCAGUGGCGAGAUGUCCACAUAGCACUCCUGUCCCCCUCUGUUAAAUGCUCACAGCUCAGAGACAAUGAGACAAACAAGGCUUAAAACCAAACAGAGCAACUCCAUCAGACGUGACCAGUACCUCGUACGGACCCAGCUUUAUUCCCCCCUUAUCCUUAUCCCUUCCUCACCCCUCCUUCCCCCACUCAGUGUGGUCAGUGUGUGUUAACAGUUAAAUAACAACACAAACAGUUCACUAUCCAGUUCAGUCCACAAUUUCUUGUUUUAUUUCUCUUUAGUAAGAGAGAUCACCAACAUCAGGCUGACUGUGGCUUUAGUAACAGGGAUCACCAACUCCAGGCUGACUGUCUGCUGUGGCUUUAGUAACAGGGAUCACCAACUCCAGGCUGACUGUCUGCUGUGGCUUUAGUAACAGGGAUCACCAACUCCAGGCUGACUGUCUGCUGUGGCUUUAGUAAAAGAGAUCACCAACUCCAGGCUGACUGUCUGCUGUGGCUUUAGUAACAGGGAUCAUCAACUCCAGGCUGGCUGUGGCUUUAGUAACAGGGAUCAUCAACUCCAGGCUGACUGUCUGCUGUGGCUUUAGUAACAGGGAUCACCAACUCCAGGCUGACUGUCUGCUGUGGCUUUAGUAACAGGGAUCAUCAACUCCAGGCUAACUAUCUGUUGUGGCUUUAGUAACAGGGAUCACCAACUCCAGGCUGACUGUCUGCUGUGGCUUUAGUAACAGGGAUCACCAACUCCAGGCUGACUGUCUGCUGUGGCUUUAGUAACAGGGAUCAUCAACUCCAGGCUGACUGUCUGCUGUGGCUUUAGUAACAGGGAUCAUCAACUCCAGGCUGACUGUCUGCUGUGGCUUUAGUAACAGGGAUCACCAACUCCAGGCUGACUGUCUGCUGUGGCUUUAGUAACAGGGAUCAUCAACUCCAGGCUGACUGUCUGCUGUGGCUUUAGUAACAGGGAUCAUCAACUCCAGGCUGACUGUCUGCUGUGGCUUUAGUAACAGGGAUCAUCAACUCCAGGCUGGCUGUGGCUUUAGUAACAGGGAUCAUCAACUCCAGGCUGACUGUCUGCUGUGGCUUUAGUAACAGGGAUCAUCAACUCCAGGCUGACUGUCUGCUGUGGCUUUAGUAACAGGGAUCAUCAACUCCAGGCUGACUGUCUGCU